AGAGCGAACGCUGGCGGCAGGCCUAACACAUGCAAGUCGAGCGCCCGUAGCAAUACGGGAGCGGCAGACGGGAUAGUAACACGUGGGAACGCGCCCUUCGGUUCGGAAUAACUCAGGGAAACUUGAGCUAAUACCGAAUACGCCCUUACGGGGAAAGAUUUAUUGCCGAAGGAACGGCCCGCGUCCGAUUAGCUAGUUGGUGAGGUAAUGGCUCACCAAGGCUACGAUCGGUAGCUGGUCUGAGAGGAUGACCAGCAUCACUGGGACUGAGACACGGCCCAGACUCCUACGGGAGGCAGCAGUGGGGAAUAUUGGACAAUGGGCGCAAGCCUGAUCCAGCCAUGCCGCGUGGAUGAUGAAGGCCUUAGGGUUGUAAAGUCCUUUUAACGGGGAAGAUAAUGACGUACCCGUAGAAUAAGCCCCGGCUAACUUCGUGCCAGCAGCCGC
RNAcentral lists this ribosomal RNA (447 nucleotides) under uncultured bacterium. RNAcentral's name for it is "SSU rRNA". It matches the Rfam family "Bacterial small subunit ribosomal RNA", at positions 26 to 518 of the family's 1533-position model. The record is from RNAcentral.